AUGUCAGCGGUUCGAGUCUGCUUAUCUCCAGCCCGUGAACUUAGCGGAUACUAUGAUAGCGAUAGCACCGAAUUUUGCCAAUUCGGCAGUUCGAUCUAUGAUUUCACAUUCAUGGACGUUGAUAAGAUCCUUCCAUUUAGUAGCACCUUAGGAUGGCAUAGCCUUAAUGUUAAUGGCGAGGUUCAAAAGAGGAAAGGCUUGCGGUGGAUACCUAGGCACCCAGAGACGAGGAAGGGCGUAGCAAGCGACGAAAUGCUUCGGGGAGUUGAAAAUAAGCAUAGAUCCGGAGAUUCCCAAAUAGGUCAACCUUUUAAACUGCCUGCUGAAUCCAUGAGCAGGCAAGAGACAACCUGGCGAACUGAAACAUCUUAG
Molecule: ribosomal RNA, 372 nt
Filed under: Triticum aestivum (bread wheat)
Lineage: Eukaryota; Viridiplantae; Streptophyta; Magnoliopsida; Poales; Poaceae
Description: partial small subunit ribosomal RNA
Rfam family: Bacterial large subunit ribosomal RNA (bases 181-372)
Source: RNAcentral